This 3715-nucleotide long non-coding RNA is filed under the name Oreochromis niloticus (Nile tilapia). RNAcentral describes it as "lncRNA (ENSONIG00000037225.1)". The record is from RNAcentral. Lineage: Eukaryota; Metazoa; Chordata; Actinopteri; Cichliformes; Cichlidae.
AGGUUAAAAGUUUUAGCUUUUUAUUUUUGGACUUUUUUGGACUUUUGGAUUACGGGAGUUACUGUGCAUGACUGUAAAUCUCCUCUAUUGGGCUGCCUCCAGAAACACUGCGACCAAUCAGGAACCUCCACCGUGCCCCAUCCCCCAGCAAGCUCCUCGGCCCAGUCUGAGCAGCCAGUCAGGGGGCCACUGAGCUGUGGCACGUCGAACCGCAUUACCCAAAAUUCCCUGUGUAUCCCCAAGGCUCGACUACGUUGGGAGUGUGUUGUGUCGUCUGAGGCCUGUCUGCAAGGUAGCCUCAUUUUUCAUCUGCUGUUCUGUCUCUUCCUCUCCCCCCCAAUCCCUCUUUCUCCCUCUCCCUCUGUGCAACCUCUCAGCCUGCCUUUCUCCAGCUAAAUUUGGCAUGUAUCCCUUUAGUGUAUGCUUUUGUGUCCCGCUGUAUGUGUUUGCCAGUGGCCUGCUGUCCUUUUGCUUUCCCCUACAGUACCUUUCUCCUACUCUGCCUGACCCCCCAAGGGAAGGUGUUGCUGGGGUUUGUGCGCAUGUUCUGUUGAGUAAUUGAACAUCUUUGAAAUAAAUAGACACAUACCCACCCCCACCCCCCACCCCAAUUAUCUCUGUGUCUUAAUUAGGCCCUCAUACUGUGCGGAGACCCUCCCUGGUGACAGUGUGUAAGUCUGUGACUGUGUGCAUGUUUGCAGGAGUAGUUUCUCUGGUGUAAUUCAGCUCUAGUUGUCCUCGCUUGCCAUGGGAUGUUCUGUCAGGCUGACUAAUUACCAACUGGUAUAAGAGUGUGUGUGUGUGCACAUGUGUAUGCGUGCAUUUACUGUGCAAUAAUGCAAUUCAGAGCACCUACUCUGUAUUAGUGAUCUCUGCUCUCACUGCAGCUUGGGGCAUCAAUAUUGAUCACUGUCCUGUCAACAUACCCAAUCAAGUUGGCCUCAGUCAAUGAUUCCUUAUUUUUAAAGAAUCGAUGCAUGGAAGACAGUGAACAUGUGACGGUGGGUAUACCUUUUUUUUUUUUUAAGUGCGAGUUCAUUAACUAAUACCCUCUUAUUUAUAUGUGUGUAUGGCUCUGUGUGUUUGUCUUUCCCAUUUGUGGUUUUGCUGUUCAAAUACAGCACUCCUUCAGACAGCUGAUUGACAGCAAGUCGCCCCCGUGGCAGAAAAUCCAUGGCCUUCUUCCCUCACCUUUACUCGGACUGCUGUCUCUCUGCUGCUGAUUUAUUGUGAUGCUAAUUUGAUUUUGGCUCACUGGCCUCCCACUUCUUUCUGCUGUUACCUUCGAGAGGGCUGGAUAAGUCUCCUUCUGCUGGUUUUGGCAUUAUACUAAAAAAAGUGAGAGUUUUUUUACGGGGAGGGAAAGUGACUUACUUUUUGUUUAAGAUGUACAGAUGGAAAUUAGAUUGUUUAUUAAACAAUGACUGAAGCUGAGGUCAUGUGAAGAGCUUUACAUUUUAAAGUAAGUGCGGUAAUGCGCGGUGACCCAGUUAUAUUGGACCGCAAUCAAAUAUAAAACCGAUCAAAAAAUUGAAAGCAGUAAUUGUUUUGGUCAGUCGAUGGAUUUAAUGGUCAGUGAUGACACUGUAUUAUGUAGUCUUGUCUAGAGUAUUGUGCAACAAAUUGUCAUUGUCUGAUUAUAUUUAUUGUUAUUCAUAUUAGUUGUUUUUUGUUCACCUCCUUUAUGUUUCUAAUUUCCCCAGUUCCUCUGUCACUCUGUACAUGUCCUCAUGUUUACCUGCGUUAUUUGUACUUUAGCUAUUUUCUGUUUUAUUUUGAAGGUUAAUGUUUUCAUUGGUAUUUCUCAUUGGUACUUCCUUUGUUAGAUUUCCCUCCUUGCUGAUUGUCUGACUUGCCCUUAGUGGUUCCAGCUGUUCUCAAUUACUUCCCUGUGUAUUUAAAAUCCUGUCUCUCCUUCAGUCUUUUGUCAGUCUGCUCUCCUUGUGCUUUUGUUCCUGUUUCCUGUGGUUGCCUUUCCUGGAUUCCUUUUUUCUUUGAAUCAAACCUCUUGUCAUUGUGUUUCUCUGUACUUUUUGUCUGUGUGUGUGUGUAUGUUUUUAUCGGCAUAUUAUUAAAAUUCAAAUUUUGUUGGCUCAAUCUGCUUCUUCUGUCUGCAUUUGGAUUUUGAUAACUCAUGACAUAAAUGUACAAUGCCUAAUGUGAAUGGGACACAGAAGGUCACAGCCCAUUGAGGCGAGGUCAAAGUCAUCUUAUAGCCCUUUUCCACUAGUACUUACUUGGCUCGCCUCAACUCUGCUUGACAAGGUUUUUAUGUUUCUCCAUUAAGUGGUAGUACGUGGAACCAGGUACUUUUUUAGUACCUACUCAGCCAGGGUUUUAAGCAAUCUGAGUCGACAAAAACGUGAAAUCUACAGACUGCAUGGCACCAAUUGGCCAAUCAGUGGCAUAAUUCAGUUAGUCAUGAGAGCUACUCCGUCACAAAAAUCAAAACUACCAUGAGGAAAAUGGCUAUACAAAAACCAAAUGUGACAAAAAAAACAUACUUCAAGCAGCAGGUAUACCAUCACCUCAACCUCCUCCACGGUUGUUUUGUGUUUGUGUCACAUAAUAAAUGAAUCACAGGCUUUUGAGCAUUUUGCUGUAACAAGCCCAAACACAUUGAGGUUGUACUCAGUUGUAAUGUAAAACUGAAUAAAGUCAAGCUGAGUAAGCCAAACAGGUACUAAUGGAAAUGGAAAAAGAGGCUUUAUUACUGUAUUAGACAGUGCAACUUACGCACAUGAAGGUUUGCAUCUAUAUUGUGACAACAUCAUUUUGUCUAGCAACCACCUAGCAUUUAUUCAAAUAAAACACCUUAAAUAAGCAUUGUAUCAUUUUUAUUUCACACCAGUGAUUUCUAAUUUAUAUCCCCCAAAACUUCACUUAAGCAUGAGAUAUUAUGACGCCAUUAGGCUGCCUGGCAACCACCUGGCAACAGGGUAAAAUGACCUGUUUUUUGCCUUCAUGCAUCUAAAGACAUUAAAAGCAUAGUCUAAUUUUAUUUCACUCCUAAGAUCACAAACACAUCAUAUUGUUUAAUUUCAUGACAGUAACAUCUCAUUUAUGUCCACAAAAACUGAAUUAUAUAUUACAUAACGUCAUCAUGUUAUCUACCAACCACCUAGCAAUGGGCUAAUAUGACUGUGGCAAAGGACCCAACGCACAAAACGUUGCAAGAGGGUUCAAUGCUUGUUUACAAUAGUUUUGUUUUUUUUAUCUCCACUUUUGUGGUUGUGCAGCUUUUCAGCUGAUGUCUGCAGCAUAGCACAACUAGCACACACAGCACCCCAUUAGGUCCUGGUGCCCUACUCAAAAUGAAAGGCAUGAUUAGAUGAUGGCGGUCAGGCUUGUGGUUCAGCCUCCCUUGACACCAGACCCUGAACCUGCUGCUCCCCCCCCUCCCUUACAGCUGAGCCACAAACCACACCCUGCCACAAUGACCCUUUUUUGCGUUUAUUCACCCACAGCACCUUAAAAAGCACUGUAUCAUUUAAUUCCACUAUCCACGUCACGAAAAGGCCAACGGUACUUGAGCAUAGACACUAGUGAUACAUAAUAAGUGGUUGCAAAUCUUUAGUGGUCAUUAACUGGCUGUAGUCUCCAACCCCUAGAGAUCAGCAGAUAAUUAGUAUCUUGCUUUGAGAAGCUCUCCUAGAUCAGCUUUUAUCUUGAAUCUAGAUUUUAGUAAAUGAAACACAUGCCCUACUGAAUUACA